UGGGAGUUGUGCAAACGAUCCUUUGACCUGAGAUCACCAUGAUACCUUGUGUACAUGAAUCCAUAUUUUGGUUUACUUCCUAACUUGAUUCUCUAAUCCUUAUGUGGGGUGUUCUGGAUAUAGUAUAGUGUGCAUGAAGGUUAUAAGUGGUCAAUAAGAGAUCAAUUACUUUUAAUAAGGGGAGCGAACAUCCUAUGUAAUCUCAUAGAUUGAUAACUCUGAAAGUCCUUAGCCAAAGUAGGAUGAUAAUUAGAAAAAAGUUUCUAAUAUAUCAUCAACUGAAUCAUCAUCUUCUAAUUGAAAUAUAUUUAGAUAAGCAAUUG
RNAcentral lists this long non-coding RNA (323 nucleotides) under Elaeis guineensis (African oil palm). Its description in RNAcentral is "long non-coding RNA (EGUI_LNC065315)". The record is from RNAcentral. Lineage: Eukaryota; Viridiplantae; Streptophyta; Magnoliopsida; Arecales; Arecaceae.